This 483-nucleotide ribosomal RNA is filed under the name uncultured bacterium. RNAcentral's name for it is "partial 16S ribosomal RNA". It matches the Rfam family "Bacterial small subunit ribosomal RNA", at positions 30 to 506 of the family's 1533-position model. The record is from RNAcentral.
AUUGAACGCUGGCGGCAGGCCUAACACAUGCAAGUCGAGCGGAUGAAGGGAGCUUGCUCCUGGAUUCAGCGGCGGACGGGUGAGUAAUGCCUAGGAAUCUGCCUGGUAGUGGGGGAUAACGUCCGGAAACGGGCGCUAAUACCGCAUACGUCCUGAGGGAGAAAGUGGGGGAUCUUCGGACCUCACGCUAUCAGAUGAGCCUAGGUCGGAUUAGCUAGUUGGUGGGGUAAAGGCCUACCAAGGCGACGAUCCGUAACUGGUCUGAGAGGAUGAUCAGUCACACUGGAACUGAGAGACGGUCCAGACUCCUACGGGAGGCAGCAGUGGAGAAUAUUGGACAAUGGGCGAAAGCCUGAUCCAGCCAUGCCGCGUGGGUGAAGAAGGUCUUCGGAUGGUAAAGCACUUUAAGUUGGGAGGAAGGGCAGUAAGUUAAUACCUUGCUGUUUUGACGUUACCAACAGAAUAAGCACGGGCUACCUCCGU